CCCGUGCCUCGGCCCUGCACUCCCCGCCCGCGGAGCAGCUCCAGCUUUUGUCUCCGUACGCUGCCUCCUUCCUUUCUCUCCUUCCAAACUUUUGAGCGCUCUCUCUGAGCUGUAUUUAUAGACCUGGAGCCCACGGCUGUAUUUUUCCUUGUGCCUCCUUUGGCUUGGGCUGAAGUCACUGGCAGGGAAAAUAAGAAGGAGGCAAGGCGGGCGGGCAGACGAGCGGGAGGACAGAAGGGAAAAAGAGCCUGAGUCCCGCAGACGGGACCUGGAGGGAGGCUGGGGUAGGCGGCGAAACGUGCGGGACCCUUCUCCCGCGGACGAGAGAGAGGUGACAGCGGAAGUGAGGACGCUGAAGUCUCUAAAAUGGCACCAAAUCUCUCAGCAAAGCAGACUGUGUAGUUGUGUUGUUAAGCAUUUUCCUCGCCGACGUGCACCACAUUGACAUUAAUCUUAGAAAUGAAUGUCAAAGUAAUUCUGGCAUCGUUAGGGAGCCCGUUCUGCAGAUGGCAGAUUUGGAAGGCUCCCCUGCCAUUUGCAGGGACAUCCGCACCGUUAGCAAAAGUGCUGCAGGGAGUCGUGCCCAGACACCGCAAUCUUCGCCACCGACAGCAUCCUCACCUACAGUGCCCUCGGUGGCCAGAGAUCAGCGGAUGAACAAACCCAAAUGAUUAAAAUAAGUGCAAACCAGACUUCUUGCUGCAGGGAGUUGAAAUUCACGUAUGGAGGAGUGUAUAGAAUAAAAGAAAAGCGUGUUUAUAGCUCCAAAUCACUGCAUCGACAGCAAGAGAACAAGAUCGCUGUACAUGACAUAAGGGGGCAAACUCCUGUUCGGACAGUGGUUAUUGUAUGACAAGAAGCAAUAGCUGCUUUACUAUUAAAAAUAGUGUUUAUUAUGAAGAAACUGAAUGAGCAACCAUCCAAAUAAAUACCCUCUGCAUACAACAAGUGCACGGUGUUUGUGAUGCUUUGGGUGCCACUAACCUUACUGUCUUUUAACCAUUAUUGUGUUUUUGCUCGGCAUUAUGAACACUGUUUUCCAGUUGCCCUCAUUUCAGCAUGGUCUAACAUUCCUCAAUUGCACGGAGAAAUACCAAAAGGGGUAUUUUUUCUUUUCCCCUGUAAAUGCACGUCAAUAAAUUCAAUGUGUAUUCUUA
Molecule: long non-coding RNA, 1157 nt
Organism: Coturnix japonica (Japanese quail)
Lineage: Eukaryota; Metazoa; Chordata; Aves; Galliformes; Phasianidae
Source: RefSeq, a predicted model, not a curated record